GACCUUUCUUGGGAGUCUCAAGCUGGCAGGCCAGUGGACAGUGACACCGUCUACCCUCUCAGUAGGAAUUCAGAAGACUGCGUCGAGGAUGACAACCACCAGCUUAUCUUCACCAUAGUCAAGGGUGGGGAGGAAACCAACGGUGGUUCUGGGGAUGGUCCAUAGUGCCACGUUACCGCUCCAGCUUCCCUACCUCUCAGGGUGGGCUUAUGUUGAACUCCAUGACACCAUGACUCAGCUGAACCCUGGUGAAGAUACCAUCAUGAAGAGUGUUUUUCACAUGGAGUGUCACUCUGCUGGCCACAAAGUCAUUUUUUAAAAAAAAAAAUAAAAGUGCCAUGUAAAUGACAUUUUAUACACACACAGACUCCAUUUUAUAAUAAAACAUUUAAGCUGCUAAUAAUUCAAUAUUGGAAUUAAAAUGUAGAAUUCAUUUGAAAAGUUAGCAGAUGUAGAUGUAAUUCUACCAAACCUACAACUUCUACAGGAAACCUGGUCUAGUAACGUUUUAUAGAUUUUCUGAUUGUUUAUGUGCGGUUUUUAAAGGUAUGCUCUGUUACUCAGUGACCUAUACUUGAAUGAGUUGUUUACAUUUCCCAUUUCCAUAACCUUUGAUCACAAAUGUCUCCUGGCUGCUUGUUUGAUCAUAACUGAAUAAAGAGAUAUUAAAACAGGCACU
This is a long non-coding RNA of Paramormyrops kingsleyae, 679 nucleotides long. RefSeq lists it as uncharacterized. The record is from RefSeq and is a predicted model, not a curated record. Lineage: Eukaryota; Metazoa; Chordata; Actinopteri; Osteoglossiformes; Mormyridae.